RNAcentral lists this ribosomal RNA (490 nucleotides) under uncultured bacterium. RNAcentral's name for it is "partial 16S ribosomal RNA". It matches the Rfam family "Bacterial small subunit ribosomal RNA", at positions 29 to 507 of the family's 1533-position model. The record is from RNAcentral.
AGUGAACGCUGGCGGUAGGCCUAACACAUGCAAGUCGAACGGCACCACAGGAGAGCUUGCUCUCUGGGUGGCGAGUGGCGGACGGGUGAGGAAUACAUCGGAAUCUGCCCAGUCGUGGGGGAUAACGUAGGGAAACUUACGCUAAUACCGCAUACGACCUUCGGGUGAAAGAGGGGGAUCGCAAGACCUCUCGCGAUUGGAUGAGCCGAUGUCGGAUUAGCUAGUUGGCGGGGUAAUGGCCCACCAAGGCGACGAUCCGUAGCUGGUCUGAGAGGAUGAUCAGCCACACUGGAACUGAGACACGGUCCAGACUCCUACGGGAGGCAGCAGUGGGGAAUAUUGGACAAUGGGCGCAAGCCUGAUCCAGCCAUACCGCGUGGGUGAAGAAGGCCUUCGGGUUGUAAAGCCCUUUUGUUGGGAAAGAAAUCUUUCAGGCUAAUACCCUGGGAGGAUGACGGUACCCAAAGAAUAAGCACCGGCUAACUUCGUG